RNAcentral lists this ribosomal RNA (492 nucleotides) under uncultured bacterium. RNAcentral's name for it is "partial 16S ribosomal RNA". It matches the Rfam family "Bacterial small subunit ribosomal RNA", at positions 29 to 507 of the family's 1533-position model. The record is from RNAcentral.
AGUGAACGCUGGCGGUAGGCCUAACACAUGCAAGUCGAACGGCAGCACAGUAAGAGCUUGCUCUUACGGGUGGCGAGUGGCGGACGGGUGAGGAAUACAUCGGAAUCUACUUUUUCGUGGGGGAUAACGUAGGGAAACUUACGCUAAUACCGCAUACGACCUACGGGUGAAAGCAGGGGAUCUUCGGACCUUGCGCGAUUGAAUGAGCCGAUGUCGGAUUAACUAGUUGGCGGGGUAAAGGCCCACCAAGGCGACGAUCCGUAGCUGGUCUGAGAGGAUGAUCAGCCACACUGGAACUGAGACACGGUCCAGACUCCUACGGGAGGCAGCAGUGGGGAAUAUUGGACAAUGGGCGCAAGCCUGAUCCAGCCAUACCGCGUGGGUGAAGAAGGCCUUCGGGUUGUAAAGCCCUUUUGUUGGGAAAGAAAAGCAGCAGGUUAAUACCCCGCUGUUCUGACGGUACCCAAAGAAUAAGCACCGGCUAACUACGUG